UACGUAGGGUGCGAGCGUUAAUCGGAAUUACUGGGCGUAAAGCGUGCGCAGGCGGCUUUGCAAGACAGAUGUGAGAUCCCCGGGCUCAACCUGGGAACUGCAUUUGUGACUGCAAGGCUAGAGUACGGCAGAGGGGGAUGGAAUUCCGCGUGUAGCAGUGAAAUGCGUAGAUAUGCGGAGGAACACCAAUGGCGAAGGCAAUCCCCUGGGCCUGUACUGACGCUCAUGCACGAAAGCAUGGGGAGCAAACAGG
Molecule: ribosomal RNA, 253 nt
Filed under: uncultured bacterium
Lineage: Bacteria
Description: partial 16S ribosomal RNA
Rfam family: Bacterial small subunit ribosomal RNA
Source: RNAcentral